GAUGAAGAACGCAGCGAAAUGCGAUAAGUAAUGUGAAUUGCAGAAUUCAGUGAAUCAUCGAAUCUUUGAACGCACAUUGCGCCCCCUGGUAUUCCGGGGGGCAUGCCUGUCCGAGCGUCAUUACAACCCUCAAGCUCAGCUUGGUAUUGGGCCCCGCCGACCCGGCGGGCCCUAAAGUCAGUGGCGGUGCCGUCCGGCUCCGAGCGUAGUAAUUCUUCUCGCUCUGGAGGUCCGGUCGUGUGCUCGCCAGCAACCCCCAAUUUUUUUCAGGUUGACCUCGGAUCAGGGAGGGAUACCCGCUGAACUUAAGCAUAUCAAUAAGCGGAGGA
RNAcentral lists this unclassified non-coding RNA (329 nucleotides) under soil metagenome. RNAcentral's name for it is "partial contains 5.8S ribosomal RNA, internal transcribed spacer 2, and large subunit ribosomal RNA". The stretch from base 1 to 120 matches the Rfam family "5.8S ribosomal RNA", at positions 35 to 154 of the family's 154-position model. The record is from RNAcentral.